Molecule: non-coding RNA, 29 nt
Filed under: Rattus norvegicus (Norway rat)
Lineage: Eukaryota; Metazoa; Chordata; Mammalia; Rodentia; Muridae
Source: RNAcentral
UUGCUUUUUCAUGUCUUAUGUUCUGUGGU